Molecule: unclassified non-coding RNA, 395 nt
Filed under: soil metagenome
Description: partial contains 5.8S ribosomal RNA, internal transcribed spacer 2, and large subunit ribosomal RNA
Rfam family: 5.8S ribosomal RNA (bases 1-120)
Source: RNAcentral
GAUGAAGAACGCAGCGAAAUGCGAUAAGUAAUGUGAAUUGCAGAAUUCAGUGAAUCAUCGAAUCUUUGAACGCACCUUGCGCUCUUUGGUAUUCCAAGGAGCAUGCCUGUUUGAGUGUCAUGAAAUUCUCAACCUUUCUGGCUUUUACAAGUUGGUUAGGCUUGGAUUGUGGAAGGUUGCUGGCUUUUUAUAAAAGUCAGCUCUUCUAAAAUGCAUUAGCAAAGAUUGUUGUGUCUAUCCUUGAUAUGAUAAUUAUCUGUAUCAUUGAAGACUCAAACCUCUUGUAUUGGAGGGAUCUUGCUUCAAAUGGUCUCUGUUGAGACAAUACUUGACAAUUUUGACCUCAAAUCAGGUAGGACUACCCGCUGAACUUAAGCAUAUCAAUAAGCGGAGGA